This 253-nucleotide ribosomal RNA is filed under the name uncultured bacterium. RNAcentral's name for it is "partial 16S ribosomal RNA". It matches the Rfam family "Bacterial small subunit ribosomal RNA", at positions 524 to 776 of the family's 1533-position model. The record is from RNAcentral.
UACGGAGGGUGCAAGCGUUGUCCGGAUUUAUUGGGUUUAAAGGGUGCGUAGGCGGCUAUUUAAGUCAGUGGUGAAAUCCUGCAGCUUAACUGUAGAACAGCCAUUGAUACUGGAUAGCUUGAGUACAGACGAGGUAGGCGGAAUUUAUGGUGUAGCGGUGAAAUGCAUAGAUACCAUAAAGAACCCCUAUUGCGAAGGCAGCUUACUAGGCUGUAACUGACGCUGAGGCACGAAAGCGUGGGGAUCAAACAGG